AUAUCUAUUCAUUUAGUUAAACAAUAAAAUGAAACCUCACAAUGAUCAUAAUAAAAUUGUCUCAUUAAUAAUUUUUUCAUUCUUGAUCAUGAUGAAUUUUACCAUAUUUAUAGUGAAAUUCAAUUCACCAAUCAGUAUCAUAUUCUUUCAACUUCAAAGAAGCCAAUUCUACCUUCUCUUCUCCAUCAAUCUCAUGAAAAUGAAGAUAAGUUUCAAGAUCAAAUAACCUCUUGAUACAGUCUUUCUUAUAAGAAUCAUUAUUACAAUAAAAUGUGUUCAAUAUUAGGAACA
RNAcentral lists this unclassified non-coding RNA (291 nucleotides) under Hevea brasiliensis (rubber tree). Lineage: Eukaryota; Viridiplantae; Streptophyta; Magnoliopsida; Malpighiales; Euphorbiaceae. The record is from RNAcentral.